GCCCUUUGUUUUUUUUUUUUUUUUCCUGCUAGGAAUUGCAACACUUCAAGCCUUUGUUCAAACUCUACCUUCUAAUUCUUAGGACAUUGUAGUGGCUCCAAAAAUCAUUUUGUUAGGAAAUUGAUUCCACUGCCAAACAAACGAAAAACACGAAGUCAUGGGAAGCUGGUGUGUGUGGGUAUAUCAGAGCACCCAACUAGAGAAGGCAACACCCUUGAGUUUUAUCUAGAAAAUACAAGAUCAGAAACUGUCACAUUGUUACCAAUGGUCCCCACAAGUCCCUAAAGAUGCCUUCUUCAGUAUCUUCAUUGGAGACGAAUCUAGGACACUGUGUAUGAACUUGAGGCCCGCACUCAGAGGCAACAACCUACGGUAUGCUUCGUAGAGCUUCGGCCACGGGCUUUACAAGGCAGUUCCUAUCAGGGAAACCGCAUCAAAACCCUCCUGUGGCCCCUGGACCCAUGGAUGGCUGCCCUGGGGAGCACACUUGUGGAUGAAGUGGUGGAGGCCUGGAGAGGACAAGAGGAUACCAAUCGCUGGCACGAGCCGGAAAUGGUGAGCACUGAAGAGAGUGGAAGCAGCUGAAACAUGCACCAACAGGAAAGGGAGCCUGCUGUGGAAUGGACUGCCUUUGCCUGGUUUGGUUUUAGGUCUGGGAAGUGUUCCCUUCUGGAUUCCGCGACCGGAAGCGUUGUGUAGCUCUGCUGUUCUUUAAAAGCCUAGGAUACGCCAGUGAAGCUCUGGGAACCACGGGGCUUUCUUUCGGGGGAAUUUUUAAAUUAUGGAUUUACUUUUUAGAUAGUUACUAAGCUACUCAACAGUAUCCUAGCUCACGUGGUCAUUUCUGGUUGGAGAAGAUCGGCGUUGGCGCGCUCAUCUCGGAAGGCGACUUGCCACAGGCAGAGCUGAGCUCCGGGUGAGCUGGUGCUUUUCUCAUUUGGGGCAGCAUGGUGCCAGCUCUGCUGAGUCCCCGCUGACAGCUGUCCUGUCCUGACCCUCCAGUUUCACCACAGGGGCUCUGUCUCCUGCCCACUGUUUCCUUGCCUCGUGAGCAGGUUCUCAUGGCUCUCCUGUCGUCCCGAGGCUCCUCCCCAGGUCAGGAGUUCUAGGGCUGGGAGCAAACUCCUGUAUUUACCAACCUUCCACAUGACUGCUGUGCGCUAAUGCUGGGCACCUCUGUUGUAAGAGGUAUUUCAUCAAAGGGAUAAAGCUUAGCUAGCAACCUUUCCCAAAGUGUCCUCUCUUUAACAUAGGCCACUUUUGAUCUGGGGAGGCCUUGGCGAUGUGGGGAAAGACCUAGACUCCGGUCUGGAAAGAUUCUGUGCUUGUGUCUGAGUUGGACCGUCCCAUCUUGAAUACAUCACUCUGUUGAUUUUCAGCACAUUAGACUUUUUGUUUUUACAAAAUGGAUACUUUUCCUACUUCGUGAAGUGUAAUCAGACCAUAGAAAUUAUUGUUAUAAAGUAUAA
Molecule: non-coding RNA, 1469 nt
Organism: Peromyscus maniculatus bairdii (prairie deer mouse)
Lineage: Eukaryota; Metazoa; Chordata; Mammalia; Rodentia; Cricetidae
Source: RefSeq, a predicted model, not a curated record